Molecule: ribosomal RNA, 273 nt
Filed under: uncultured bacterium
Lineage: Bacteria
Description: partial 16S ribosomal RNA
Rfam family: Bacterial small subunit ribosomal RNA
Source: RNAcentral
UACGUAGGGGGCAAGCGUUGUCCGGAUUUAUUGGGCGUAAAGCGCGCGCAGGCGGCUCGCCAAGUCGGUCGUGAAAUCUCUCGGCUCAACCGGGAGGGGUCGGGCGAAACUGGCGAGCUUGAGGUCGGUAGGGGAAAGCGGAAUUCCCGGUGUAGUGGUGGAAUGCGUAGAUAUCGGGAGGAACACCAGUGGCGAAGGCGGCUUUCUGGACCGAAACUGACGCUGAGGCGCGAAAGCGUGGGGAGCGAUCCGGAUUAGAAACCCCCGUAGUCC